Long non-coding RNA from Thalassophryne amazonica, 482 nucleotides. RefSeq lists it as uncharacterized. The record is from RefSeq and is a predicted model, not a curated record. Lineage: Eukaryota; Metazoa; Chordata; Actinopteri; Batrachoidiformes; Batrachoididae. The transcript is spliced from 2 exons.
GACAAAAACAAUUUGUCUGUUCUGAAUGUGGCCAAAGAUUUGGCCAAAAGAGCCAACUGAAAUCACACUUGAUAAAUCAUACAGGACAAAAACACUUUGCCUGUUCUGAAUGUGGUCGAAGAUUUGGACAAAAGAGCACUCUGAACAGACACAUGAGAAUUCAUACAACUUCUGCCAGUGCUGCAGGUAAACGUCUGUCCUGUGCCAGCACUCAGCUGGAUAUCCCACCAGCUCACCAAAGUGCUGAUCCUGGACCUCAACAGCCUCAAAGGGCCAAAAUAAACUAGCUUAACUAGAACACUGUAAAUUGGUAUAUUGAGGAGGAGAAAAGGUUUUUUUUCUCUGCUUCGCUUCCUGAAGUUACGAGAAGUGGGGCAGACGAAAAACAGUAUUUGGGGAAAGGAUAAAAGAAAUGGAUCUACCAGCAGAGAAGAAAGAAGAUGCCACAAUUGCAAAACUACAACUGAUAGCCUCUCAGAUCC